Molecule: ribosomal RNA, 1346 nt
Filed under: uncultured bacterium
Lineage: Bacteria
Description: partial 16S ribosomal RNA
Rfam family: Bacterial small subunit ribosomal RNA
Source: RNAcentral
GACGAACGCUGGCGGCGGGCUUAACACAUGCAAGUCGAACGGAAAGGCCCUGCUUUUGUGGGGUGCUCGAGUGGCGAACGGGUGAGUAACACGUGAGUAACCUGCCCUUGACUUUGGGAUAACUUCAGGAAACUGGGGCUAAUACCGGAUAGGAGCUCCUGCUGCAUGGUGGGGGUUGGAAAGUUUCGGCGGUUGGGGAUGGACUCGCGGCUUAUCAGCUUGUUGGUGGGGUAGUGGCUUACCAAGGCUUUGACGGGUAGCCGGCCUGAGAGGGUGACCGGCCACAUUGGGACUGAGAUACGGCCCAGACUCCUACGGGAGGCAGCAGUGGGGAAUAUUGCACAAUGGGCGGAAGCCUGAUGCAGCAACGCCGCGUGCGGGAUGACGGCCUUCGGGUUGUAAACCGCUUUCGCCUGUGACGAAGCGUGAGUGACGGUAAUGGGUAAAGAAGCACCGGCUAACUACGUGCCAGCAGCCGCGGUGAUACGUAGGGUGCGAGCGUUGUCCGGAUUUAUUGGGCGUAAAGGGCUCGUAGGUGGUUGAUCGCGUCGGAAGUGUAAUCUUGGGGCUUAACCCUGAGCGUGCUUUCGAUACGGGUUGACUUGAGGAAGGUAGGGGAGAAUGGAAUUCCUGGUGGAGCGGUGGAAUGCGCAGAUAUCAGGAGGAACACCAGUGGCGAAGGCGGUUCUCUGGGCCUUUCCUGACGCUGAGGAGCGAAAGCGUGGGGAGCGAACAGGCUUAGAUACCCUGGUAGUCCACGCUGUAAACGGUGGGUACUAGGUGUGGGGUCCAUUCCACGGGUUCCGUGCCGUAGCUAACGCUUUAAGUACCCCGCCUGGGGAGUACGGCCGCAAGGCUAAAACUCAAAGGAAUUGACGGGGCCCCGCACAAGCGGCGGAGCAUGCGGAUUAAUUCGAUGCAACGCGUAGAACCUUACCUGGGUUUGACAUGGAUCGGGAGUGCUCAGAGAUGGGUGUGCCUCUUUUGGGGUCGGUUCACAGGUGGUGCAUGGCUGUCGUCAGCUCGUGUCGUGAGAUGUUGGGUUAAGUCCCGCAACGAGCGCAACCCUUGUUCACUGUUGCCAGCACGUUAUGGUGGGGACUCAGUGGAGACCGCCGGGGUCAACUCGGAGGAAGGUGGGGAUGACGUCAAGUCAUCAUGCCCCUUAUGUCCAGGGCUUCACGCAUGCUACAAUGGCUGGUACAGAGAGUGGCGAGCCUGUGAGGGUGAGCGAAUCUCGGAAAGCCGGUCUCAGUUCGGAUUGGGGUCUGCAACUCGACCUCAUGAAGUCGGAGUCGCUAGUAAUCGCAGAUCAGCAACGCUGCGGUGAAUACGUUCCCGGGGCU